GGCUGCGCAUGCAGCAUACGGAAGGUCCCAGGCUACGGGUCUAAUUGGAGGUGUAGCCACCAGCCUACAUCAGAGCCAUAGCAAUGUGGGAUCUACCUCUUCUUAAUCACAGAAAAAUCUCAAAAAAAUGAGAAUUAAUUAACACCUUUAAAUGUAUUUAUGUAUUUGGACAAAAUAAUUGCCAACAUUCAAAAGAGAAUCAAAGGCCACUAAAUAUUGUUUGUAUUUUAAAAAGUAUUUCUCUCUCAAGACAAACCAUUUUACAUACACAAGCCUUUUCCUUUUAAAACAAUGCAGAAAUAAAAUUAAAAUAUACAUAAUUAAUUCAGCAUAUAAACACAGCAGAGACUAUAAAUAUUCAUAAUCUAAAAAUUUUACAGAGCAUUGCAGUAAACAGAACCUAAAAUGAGUCAACAUGAUUUGUUUUACCAUUAAUCUCAUAAAAUGAAAACAAAAAAGAAGUAAUUUACAAUAUGGGUUGCAUUUUUCAGCAUCCAAAUCUCAUAACAUCAAUCGCUUCAUUAAAUAAGAGAAUAAUAUUAUAAUUAUGGAAAACAGAAAACUAAUUCCUUCAAAAAAGUCUGUGGGUCUCCUAUGUGAAUAACAUGGCCCCAGGCUUUAAUGGGGGGUGAGAAGUGAAUUAGAAAUUAUCUCCGCUUUUAGAGUAGCAUAUGCAAAUGAAGACUCCAUAUUCAUCCAGACUUUUGAGUGACCCUAGUAUAAAGAUAACAAGAACUUUUCAGAUAUAAAGUUUUUGUUUUUAAUGAGUGUUAGUGCUUUUACUUUGGUUUGGAGAAGCACUAUUCUGAAAAUUUCAAGGUACAGAUACUGCUGUCAUCUCUGCAGGCAAGACGACUAUGAGUUCACCCUAAAAUUGAAGGACCUUCAGGUGAAGGAACUCAUUCCAGGAACCUGAAGGCUCUUUUGGGAAGGAAUCCAUCUCAGGAAGAAUGUUGUGAUGCAUAUGAUUGAUUCAAUCAAAAAUCAGCACAGAACUGCCCCUAGGCUGUCUCUCUGUCUAUCUCAUGUUUGCCGAGGAAGUCCAAGCAAACUGAGGGAGCUGAGUAUCCAGAAGAAAACUGCGAUCUUCACAAAAUCCAUUUGCACAAUGGUGGUGGUGAUUAUCAGCCUCCCUUUCAGCCCCCCUGGCCAGCUCAGCCCUCUCUUUCUACUCCUCAUCCUCUCCUCACUUUCAUGUGAGGACUUGUCUCUGCUGAAGCAACCACUAAUGUUCCUCAUGCAGGAAAGAUCUUCCCAAGGAGUCCUGGCCCCCUGAGAAAGGAGGGCUUGAGUAAAUCCACAUAUUGGAGAGUUAAAGAGAGACAGGAGCGUCACAGAGUAUGAAAGCUAUCUAGAGGCUCUCUUUGGGAUUGGAAAGAGUUGGGGCAGAGCAAGCUGGUCAGGGGAAGAAAGGAGAAUCAAGACAGAGCAGGCUGGCCAUGGGAAGCUCUAAGGAGCAUGAAUCUUUCAGAAAGAAAAAGGAAGGGGGAGAAAGGAAGGGAAAACAGCAACAGUGUCAUUUAAGAGACUCACUCAAGCAAUGGAUAUUUCUUAAAGAUUCUCUUUUGGCUUGUAACUGCUAUUCUUUUUUUAAUUUUUUAUUAUAGUUGAUCUAUAAUGUUAUUUCAAUUUCUGCUGUACAGCAAAGUGACCCAGUUAUACAUAUAUAUACACACACAUAUAUACAUACACACACACACACACACACACACACACACACACACACACAUUCUUUUUCUCACAUUAUCCUCCAUUAUGUUCCAUUACAAAUGAUUGGGUACAGUUCCCUGUACUAUACAGCAGUACCUCAUUGCUUAUCCACUCCAAAUGCAACAGUUUGCAUCUAUUAACCCCAAACUCCCAAUCCAUCCCACUCCCUGCCCCCCUCAACCUUUGGCAAUCACGAAUUUGUUCUUCAUGUUCAUGAGUUUGUUUUUUUCUGUAGAUAGUUUCACUCAUGCCAUACAUUAGAUUCCAGAUGUAAGUGAUAUCAUAUGAUAUUUGUCUUUAUGUUUCUGAUUUACUUCACUUAGUAUGAGAAUCUCUAGUUUCAUCCAUGUUGCUGCAAAUGGCGUUGUUUCAUUCUUUUAUAUGGCUGAGUAGUAUUCCAUUGUGAAUAUAUACAACAUCUUCUUAAUCCAUUCAUCUGUCAAUGGAUAUUUAGGUUGUUUACAUGUCUUGGCUAUUGUGAACAUUGCUACUGUUCAUAGGGGUGCACAUAACUUUUUCAAUGAAAGUUUUGUCUGGAUAUAUGGCCAAGAGUGGCAUUGCUAGGUCAUAUGGUAGUUCUAUAUUCAGUUUUCUGAGGAAUCUCCAUACUGUCGAAUUGUACCAAUUUAUAUUCCCACCAACAGUGUAGUAAGGUUACCUUUUCUCCACAUCCUCUCCAGCAUUUGUUAUUUGUGGACUUAUUAAUAAUGGCCAUUCUGACUGGUGUGAGGUGGUAUCUCAUUGUAGUUUUGAUUUGCAUUUCUCUUAUAAUUAGUGAUGUUGAGCAUUUUUACAUGUGCCUAUUGACCAUCCAUAUGUCUUCUCUGGAGAAAUGUCUAUUUAAGUCUUCUGGUCAUUUUUCAAUUGGCUUGUUUGUUUUUUUGCCGGAUGAGUUAUUUGUAUAUUUUGGAGAUCAAGCAUUUGCAACUAUUUUCUCCCAUUUUUAUAGGUUGGCUUUUUUUUAGGGUUUCCUUUGUUGUGCAAAAGCUUGUAAGUUUGAUUAGGUCCCAUUGGUUUAUUUUUGCUUUAAUUUCCAUUGCCUUGGGAGACUGACCUAAGAAAACAUUUGUACGGUUGAUGUCAGAGAAUGUUUUGCCUAUGUUCUCUUCUAGGAGUUUUAUGGUGUCCUGUGCUAUGCGUGUUUUUUUUUGUUUUGUUUUGUUUUUCUUUUUAGGGCUGCACCUGUGGCAUAUGGAGUUUCCCAGGCUAGGGGUAGAAUUGGAGCCACAGCUGCCAGCCUACACCACAGCUCACAGCAACACAGUUUCAGAGCUGCAACUGCAACCUAUGCUACAGCUCAUGGCAAUGCCAGAUCUUUAACCCCCUGAGUGAGGCCAGGGAUCGAACUGGCAACAUCAUGGUUCAUACUCAGAUUUGUUUCCACUGUGCCAAGAGGGGAACUCCAAGUUUAAGUCUUUAAUCCAUUUUAAGCUUAUUUUUGUACAUGAGUUGAGGGUAUGUUCUAGUUUCAUUGAUUUACAUGCAGCUGUCUGGCUGUGUAACUUGUAUUCUUGAAUAGAAAAUGGUGUUCACAGAUGAAUCACCAAAGGCCAAAGCUACAAGAGUUCCAGGCUAUUUCAGGACAGUCUCCAAACAUACCAGGAUCAUAAGGUGCCACUACCUUGAGCUCCACCCACCUCAGCAUCAUACAAAGGUCAUGAGGAGGUAAUUCUCUUUUCAGUAAGGGAAGCAAUCUUGUUCUGGUGGGUGGAAAUGCUUACUUCUCUAGAGAGUUAGUAUAAACGUGGCCACUGAAGUCUCUGCGAGCUUCAGCUUCACCAGUACCACGGGUUGGGCAGAGUGGCACAUUAGUUGCUGUCAGAAGUGUUGGAACUGCCCCGAGGUGAUCCUAUAGGAUGUUUUCUAUACCCAAAUAGUGGCCUGUAGGGUAGUAGAGCCCAGCUGAAGACUACCCAGAGUAAGGACAGAAGUGGGGUAAAUGCAUGAUCUAGGAACAAGGUACAGUGAUUUCAUGAAAACCCUCUAAGGAAUGGGAGACUCUGCUCAUGCUUUUACAUUCAAUUAAAGUCUUUUCAGUUAAAUUCUUGUAAUUUAUUUAUAUUUUAUUGAUAUUUAAGUUAGUAGAAAUUUUGAAAUAUGUUGAUAAUGCUUUUAUUGCUAGGAUACUGCAUACCAGGAAACGUGAUCAUCUAUCCAUCAUCCACACACCCACCCAUUUUUUUCAUCAUCCACUGAUACAACAUACAUAUAAUAUACCAUUCAAAUCAUAUGUAUCAUAUAUAUAACAUGUGAAUAAAUUUAUGCUAUAUACAACUGUUUUCCAUCCCCAUCAUCCUUAGGAACUUCUCUUGUCAAUGUUAUCAAACUUCCAUGUGUCACUACCUCCCAUGAGCAGUUUCUGUGCUCAUUUUGAUGACCUGGAAGCAGCAUGUGACAUAGCCAGCCACUUUCUUCUUACAAUACUUCCUUCACUUGCCUUCUAGCUGAUAUUCUCUCUUGGCUCAUCUCCACCCCAAGGUGUUGUUCUCAACAUCUUUCCUGGCCUGCCUUUUCACUGAGCUGCUCUCUGAAGGUACGGUCCCUGGGACCUCAUUCUCUAGCCACUUGCUCAAAACAAGCUACAUGCUGGACUCCCAAAUACAGAGCUGCAGUCCUAACAUCCACCAUGAACUUCACAUCCAGUAUCUAAACUCAUGGGUACCCUAUCCUGGAGGUCCUACCCAGCUCCCCCAAAGCUGACUCCUGGUCUUCCUUCAAGUCUGUGUCUCCUAUAGCCUCCCCAGCUUGCUCCAGUAUCACUUUCUUUCCAUUUUCAUAUCCCCAAACCAAAACCAUGUUCAUUUUUUACUCCUCUCUUUCUCUCAAAACCUAAAUACGAUACAUCAGCAAUUUCUGCAGUUCAUGUUCAAAAGAUGUUCAGAUUCUCACCACUUCUCAUCCCUCCAUUAUCAAAGGGUCUGAGGCACCAUCAUCACUCACCUGGACAAACGCAGAAGCCUGUUGCUGGGUCCCCUGCUCCCUCACAUGUAGUAAUCAAGUAGCAGCCAGAUGAAGUGUCUAAUUCAGAACCACCCAAAUCCUACUUAAAAUCAAAGCCUUGCAGUCAUCAACAAGCCUCCACCAAGGGAAGAAAAUCUCUCUGACCUCAUGUCACCAUCUCACUCUGGCUUUCCUUCCCUCUCCUCCCUCACACUUGCCAGGUAUUGCCCUGUCCUCAGCACUUCACACAUGCUAUUCCCUCUGCCUGGAUCUCUCAUCCCUGAUCUGUUAGCACAGUCCACUCUCCCAGGCCCCUACUCUCUCCUUCAACGUACCUCCUACUGAGGGCUUUCUCACCACUCAAGAUCAGGAGAGACCCUGUCCCUUGGUGUCACCAACCACACAACCACAGUGUUUCUUCAGAGUACUG
RNAcentral lists this long non-coding RNA (5080 nucleotides) under Sus scrofa (pig). Its description in RNAcentral is "lncRNA (ENSSSCG00000062870.1)". The record is from RNAcentral. Lineage: Eukaryota; Metazoa; Chordata; Mammalia; Artiodactyla; Suidae.